Molecule: transfer RNA, 72 nt
Filed under: Vigna radiata var. radiata (mung bean)
Lineage: Eukaryota; Viridiplantae; Streptophyta; Magnoliopsida; Fabales; Fabaceae
Rfam family: tRNA
About the family: Transfer RNA (tRNA) molecules are approximately 80 nucleotides in length. Their secondary structure includes four short double-helical elements and three loops (D, anti-codon, and T loops).
Source: Rfam by way of RNAcentral
GUGGGUAUAGCUCAGUUGGGAGAGUGCUGGACUGAAGAUUUGGUGGUCAUGUGUUCAAUCCAUAUUUUUACA